Molecule: ribosomal RNA, 886 nt
Filed under: uncultured marine group I thaumarchaeote
Lineage: Archaea; Thermoproteati; Nitrososphaerota
Description: SSU rRNA
Rfam family: Archaeal small subunit ribosomal RNA
Source: RNAcentral
UCCUGCCGGACCUGACUGCUAUCGGAUUGAUACUAAGCCAUGCGAGUCUUUGUAGUAAUACAAGGCAUACGGCUCAGUAACACGUAGUCAACCUACCCUAUGGACAAGAAUAAUCUCGGGAAACUGGGCAUAAUUCUUGAUAGAUCAUAAUGCCUGGAAUGGUUUAUGGUUAAAAUGAUUCGUCGCCAUAGGAUGGGACUGCGGCCUAUCAGCUUGUUGGUGAGGUAAUGGCCCACCAAGGCGAUUACAGGUACGGGCUCUGAGAGGAGAAGCCCGGAGAUGGGUACUGAGACACGGACCCAGGCCCUAUGGGGCGCAGCAGGCGAGAAAACUUUGCAAUGUGCGAAAGCACGACAAGGUUAAUCCGAGUGAUUUCUGCUAAAGAAAUCUUUUGCCAGUCAUAAAACCACUGGUGAAUAAGGGGUGGGCAAGUUCUGGUGUCAGCCGCCGCGGUAAAACCAGCACCUCAAGUGGUCAGGAUGAUUAUUGGGCCUAAAGCAUCCGUAGCCGGCUUUGUAAGUUUUCGGUUAAAUCCAUGUGCUCAACGCAUGGGCUGCCGAAAAUACUGCAUGGCUAGGGAGUGGGAGAGGUAGACGGUACUCAGUAGGAAGGGGUAAAAUCCUUUGAUCUAUUGAUGACCACCUGUGGCGAAGGCGGUCUACCAGAACACGUUCGACGGUGAGGGAUGAAAGCUGGGGGAGCAAACCGGAUUAGAUACCCGGGUAGUCCCAGCUGUAAACGAUGCAGACUCGAUGAUGCAUUGGCAUAAUAGCUAGUGCAGUGUCGCAGGAAAGCCGUUAAGUCUGCCGCCUGGGAAGUACGUACGCAAGUAUGAAACUUAAAGGAAUUGGCGGGGGAGCACCACAAGGGGUGAAGCCUGCGGUUC